RNAcentral lists this long non-coding RNA (794 nucleotides) under Pan troglodytes (chimpanzee). RNAcentral's name for it is "lincRNA". Lineage: Eukaryota; Metazoa; Chordata; Mammalia; Primates; Hominidae. The record is from RNAcentral.
AGUUCCAGCUACUUGGGAAGCUGAGACAGGAUAUCUGCUUGAGCCCAGGAGUUCGUGGCUGCAGAGAGCUGUGAUCACACCACCGCACUCCAGCCAGGGCAACAGAGUGAGACCCUGACUCCAAAAGCAAAAACAAAAGAGCAAAAACGAGAUUCCAAUGUAUACUCCCACCAAUUAAUUUGAAGGUGACCAUAUCCCUUCUAACUAUCAAAUACUGUCACUCAUUUACAUCUUUGCCAAAUGUGGGAAAACAAAGUUUCGCAACCCUAUAUUGACUCCGCCAUGCCUUGGGAAAGGCAGCCCGCAUCAGUGGCAGGAAAUAUUGGUGGAGCGAGCUGGGACUUGCAGGUGACCAAGAAGGGGGAUCCCGGAACCGGAAUUGUCUCCCCUGGCGUUCCGGAAGUAGAAGCAGAGCCAUUGCUGGGUGGCGCCAGCCCUCAGACUCGCCUCUUUGCAGUAGGAAGAAGGCCUCCCCACAUAUCUUCCCACACUCAUCACCUUAAGCCAGACUCGGUGUCCAGUGAAUAUGACCAUCUCUUGCCCAUUUUCUAAUGAGUGUUUUCAUUAAUGAGUUAUAAGAAUGUGGUGGGUAAAUCUAUGGGCUUUGAACUAGUGAAUCAACUUGGUUUCAGAAUCUGGCACUGCUACUUACUAGUGAAUUUAAGCAAGUUAUUUCACCUCUCAGAGUGUCAGUUCCCUCAUGCAUACAAGGAAGAUAAAAAAUAAUGUAUACAAAAGUAUUGGAGUAAUUAAUACAUGGAGGACUACAUGUAAAGGGUUUAGCAUGAUGUCUG